Molecule: transfer RNA, 72 nt
Filed under: Erinaceus europaeus (western European hedgehog)
Lineage: Eukaryota; Metazoa; Chordata; Mammalia; Eulipotyphla; Erinaceidae
Rfam family: tRNA
About the family: Transfer RNA (tRNA) molecules are approximately 80 nucleotides in length. Their secondary structure includes four short double-helical elements and three loops (D, anti-codon, and T loops).
Source: Rfam by way of RNAcentral
GGGGAUGCAGCUUAGUGGCAGAGUGCAUGUUUACUGUACACGAGGUCCUGGGUUUGAUUCCUGGCACUCUCA